GUUUGAUCCUGGCUCAGGAUGAACGCUAGCGGCAGGCUUACACAUGCAAGUCGAGGGGGUAUAGUAGCAAUACUUGAGACCGGCGCACGGGUGCGUAACGCGUAUGCAAUCUACCUUUUGCAGGGGAAUAGCCCAGAGAAAUUUGGAUUAAUGCCCCAUAGUAUAAUGUCUUGGCAUCGAGAUAUUAUUAAAGUCACAACGGCAAAAGAUGAGCAUGCGUCCCAUUAGCUAGUUGGUAAGGUAACGGCUUACCAAGGCGACGAUGGGUAGGGGUCCUGAGAGGGAGAUCCCCCACACUGGUACUGAGACACGGACCAGACUCCUACGGGAGGCGGCAGUGAGGAAUAUUGGACAAUGGGCGCAAGCCUGAUCCAGCCAUGCCGCGUGCAGGAUGAAGCAUCUAUGGUGUGUAAACUGCUUUUGUACGAGAAGAAACACUGCAACGUGUUGCAGCUUGACGGUAUCGUAAGAAUAAGGAUCGGCUAACUCCGUGCCAGCAGCCGCGGUAAUACGGAGGAUCCAAGCGUUAUCCGGAAUCAUUGGGUUUAAAGGGUCCGUAGGCGGGCCAGUAAGUCAGUGGUGAAAUCUCCCGGCUCAACCGGGAAAUGGCCAUUGAUACUGCUGGUCUUGAAUUAUUAGGAAGUAACUAGAAUAUGUAGUGUAGCGGUGAAAUGCUUAGAGAUUACAUGGAAUACCAAUUGCGAAGGCAGGUUACUACUAGUGGAUUGACGCUGAUGGACGAAAGCGUGGGUAGCGAACAGGAUUAGAUACCCUGGUAGUCCACGCCGUAAACGAAGGAUACUAGCUGUUGGGGGCAACUUCAGUGGCUAAGCGAAAGUGAUAAGUAUCCCACCUGGGGAGUACGUUUCGCAAGAAUGAAACUCAAAGGAAUUGACG
Molecule: ribosomal RNA, 897 nt
Filed under: uncultured bacterium
Lineage: Bacteria
Description: bacterial SSU rRNA
Rfam family: Bacterial small subunit ribosomal RNA
Source: RNAcentral